GGGCCCGCACAAGCGGUGGAGCAUGUGGUUCAAUUCGACGCAACGCGAAGAACCUUACCGGGGUUUGAACCGUACGGGACAGCUGCAGAGACGUAGUUUUCCUUCGGGACCCGUAUAGAGGUGCUGCAUGGCUGUCGUCAGCUCGUGUCGUGAGAUGUUGGGUUAAGUCCCGCAACGAGCGCAACCCUUGCCUCCUGUUGCUAACAGGUAAAGCUGAGCACUCUGGAGAGACUGCCGGUGAUAAACCGGAGGAAGGUGGGGAUGACGUCAAGUCCUCAUGGCCUUUAUGCCCCGGGCUACACACGUGCUACAAUGGCUGGUACAAAGGGUUGCAAAACCGCGAGGUGGAGCUAAUCCCAGAAAACCAGUCCCAGUUCGGAUUGCAGUCUGCAACUCGACUGCAUGAAGUUGGAAUCGCUAGUAAUCGCGGAUCAGCACGCCGCGGUGAAUACGUUCCCGGGCCUU
This 465-nucleotide ribosomal RNA is filed under the name uncultured bacterium. RNAcentral describes it as "bacterial SSU rRNA". It matches the Rfam family "Bacterial small subunit ribosomal RNA", at positions 917 to 1382 of the family's 1533-position model. The record is from RNAcentral.